CCCUUAGAUGUUCGGGGCCGCACGCGCGCUACACUGAAGGACUCAGCGUGUCUCUCCCCCUAUCCCGAAAGGGAUGGGCAACCCGUUGAACCUCCUUCGUGCUAGGGAUUGGGGUUUGCAAUUAUCCCCCAUGAACGAGGAAUUCCCAGUAAGCGCGAGUCAUCAGCUCGCGUUGAUUACGUCCCUGCCCUUUGUACACACCGCCCGUCGCUACUACCGAUUGGAUGGUUUAGUGAGACCCUCGGAUCGGUCCCGACUCGGGGUGGGCUUCUGCCCCGGUCGUGGUUUCGCCGAGAAGACGGUCGAACUUGACUAUCUAGAGGAAGUAAAAGUCGUAACA
Molecule: ribosomal RNA, 340 nt
Filed under: uncultured eukaryote
Lineage: Eukaryota
Description: partial 18S ribosomal RNA
Rfam family: Eukaryotic small subunit ribosomal RNA
Source: RNAcentral